This is a long non-coding RNA of Passer domesticus (house sparrow), 4001 nucleotides long. RefSeq lists it as uncharacterized. The transcript is spliced from 2 exons. Lineage: Eukaryota; Metazoa; Chordata; Aves; Passeriformes; Passeridae. The record is from RefSeq and is a predicted model, not a curated record.
UUCAGUACUUGGUCAGUUCUGUAGAAGUGAUAAGUGAGAUUGUAUAUUUAAACACCCUUUAAAUUUGUGUCAUCUUUGUUCAGCUGUCCCUUAUGAACAUAAAAUGUUUAUUUAAAUGUAAAUUAAGCCCAGUAAGAACUGAUGUCAGUUAUAAAAAGCAAAGACUGACAAAAACAAGGUGAUAUGCAAUGGUAAAAAUUAUUCUUUAUCCUGCUUUCUUUUUUCAGAAUACUGUUAUUUUCAGGGCAAUCAAAAGAAUUAUUUUAAAAGCACAGGAAUCAAAACACCAAUUUUUCUUUUUGUAGGCAUCUCAUCAUUUAAUUUUUUUUUUUCUAGUGUCGUUGGCUUACUGUACAGUGGUCAUUAAAAUAUUUUAAAUGGUUUUCUCUUUGGCCUUUCAGGAACUGCACUCACAGGUUUAACUGUUACUUGAUACUUGUAGGUAAAGACAGAUUUCUCCUCCUCCUGCCCAUUCAGACUUCUAGCUGAGAAUCAUUUGUUUGUGUGCCUUCAGUUUUUCCCACAGUUAGCUGCUCUGAUCUGUCAGCAGGAGCUGAGUUAGGAGUCUGUGGCUAUUCUCUUGAGAAGAGUUUCAACUGAACUUUAAUAGGACUUACUUUCUUGUUGUGGAGUGUUUUGAUUUUUCAAGCUGUUUAAAACAACCAUGUGCACAAAUGCAGGUAAAGAUCUUAAAACUAAGGUAAUAUUUCUAUAAACAAAGCAACUCUUUGCAAAGAAGUGUUUAAACAUAGUUGCUGAACUGAUUUUGCUUACCUGUAGUUGGAUUUCAUUAGCCACAUAAUAUAACAAUAGAAAGGAGGUGGUGAAUAAUAAUAAGUAAAACAACGUUGUAAGGAAGGAACUGAUCUACUACUGGAGAUGUUUAUUUAAAUUUUUUAAACGGCUUCUGUUGUUAAACUUUUAAUACAAAGUCUCAAGUUUAUGGUAAGAAAAACACCUUCAAAAAGCUGUGAUCAUGUUGGAAAACGUAGAAUAGGAAAGACAGUAACAUACAGUCACAGAAUAGUUUGUAUUGGAAGGGGCCUCUGGAGAUCUAGUCCCAACCCCUACUACAGCAGGGUGCACGGGAUCACGUCUAGGUGGGUUUGGAAUAACUUCAGAGGAGAACAUUCAUUCUCAUUGGGCAGCCUGCUCCAGUGCUCUGUCACCCUCAAAGUAAAGAUUUUUUUUUUUAUUUCCUAUUCAGAUGUAACUUUCUGAAUUUACAGUUUGUGCCUGUUGUCCCUUGUGGACCAGUCACCCAUAGUCAGCACAGGUGUUCAGGUAAUGCCUCAAAAAUCUAACAGGAUUCUUUUGCAUCUCUGAGAGGAUAAACUCAAUGGUGGAAUCCACUGCCAUAGUAACCUAGGGUGCUGAAAAUGGAUCCAGGGAUCAUUUAGACACAUUCAUGUUGGACUGUGCAUAAGCAAUCUCUAGCUUCUAAGUCUCAAAGAUUGGACUGCUGGGAACUGAGGCAGUACAGUACAUAUCCCUGAAAGUAUCAUUCUCUGUUUGGUCUUGUUGUGGAAGGAAUUUAAGAACGCUUCAUGGGCUGCUGUUGGAAAGGAACUACUGAGUUGAGGCAAACCUUUAGUAUGAACCUGCUGUAUGGAUGCUUUUGUGGUAGUGGUGGUGAUGUGAAUAGUAAUAGUGCUUGAAGGACUGACAGAUAUAGAGAGUUGCUUUUGUCGUAAAUCAAAAUUUCUGAGUUGUUCUGUUCUUGUAUAAUUUUAUUGCAUCUCAGCCAAAUACACAUUUAAACAGUAACAACUUUGGUGGCCAUAUUUCCAUUCCAGAAGCCUGAACAAUAGCAGCUGUCAAAGGUGUAUAGUUUCAGCUGUGUGACUUCAGGGUGCACAGUGCCUUUGAUGGGAGGAGAAUCACUGCAUAGUGCUGUGUUGGGAUGGAUGAGACAUGGGUGAGGAGUCAUGUUAUGGGAGAAAGACUCUGAUACAGAGCAUGACAGUAAAGAUGUGGCUGUGUAGAAGGAAAUGUGGUAAAGAUAUCUACUUGCUGAAUGCUGUGUGGGGCUAACCGACUUCUGCCAUGUGGGUCCAAGAGUAGGAAACACUUUUAACACAGCCAGAAAUCUGAGGUAAGGCUCUGCCAGCCCAGAAAUCUGGGUGCAGGCUCAAGACUCUACAUGGUGCUUAAGUUGCAUGUGACAUGGAUGCCAGAGCAUAAUUCAGGGCAAAGAGAUUAAAGUAGCAAUGAGAAACCUGAAUAUUGGGGUACAGUUUGUCUUUGCUGAAGGUGCUAGGGUUCCCAGCUGCACAAACAGGGAGGCUGGCAUUUUACAGCUGGGCACAAAAUGAGUGCUUUGAAUGCAGGACUGGUCUGAAUGUGGGAGUGGAAAGUGUGGUGGUAAAGUGGUAAAAAAUUAAUAGGCUUGAGAGCUGAGAUCCAAUUUGUUGGAAGGUAGGAGAAGGAAAACUCAUUUGGAGAUGUACUGUUGAAUGCUGAGAACUUUGUUUAUGUGGAUAAUUAGGAAUGUAGAUUACAGAAUGCAGAAGUUUGACUUUACAAGAACUUAGAAGCAAAGACCAUGGAUUCUUUAUGGGUCUAAAAGAUGUAAUUCAAGAAAGUGUUUCUCUUUGAAGUAAGAGUGCUACAAAAAGAUAUUUCAUUUUGGGUCUGAGUUAGUCUUUUAGUGACAAGAUGUCUUUUCAAGGAUUGAUUUGACUUCCAAGUCACAAGCAUUUGGGCAGUGCAGGUGUUUGUGGCAGGAAAUUUUUGUAUCAGUUAUCUCUGUCUCCUCAUGCUCCACAUUCAUUCCAUGAUAAAGCACAUAGUGAGAGCACUCCCUUCCAUCUCUUUAAGGUCAUGUGUCUGAGAACUUUUUGUAAGACCUCAUAGCCUAUCUGAGACUGGCAUUCAUGUACGUUCUUAUUUAUGUAUUCAGUUGUUAGGGCUCUGGUAGAAAUGUUGCAAAGCUGAGAAAAAUGAGAGUAGAAGAAGUUCUGUGAGAUGUUGAGGUUGAAGAUCCUUAGUCCUCUCUUAUCAACCCAAAAUUUUUAUAUUACCAGUUUGGAACCAUUAGAAUAACCUUUAGCCAGUAACAGGAAAAAUACCUCAAACUGCUUUCUCUGUUAUUCUCUGUUACCAUUUAUUUGCUUUCUCACAUCUCCAUUGACAGUGGUUACUGGUAUGUCUGAUUUUGUUCAUAACUCUUGGAGAAGAAGCUUACUGCCUCUAUUUGCCUGGGAAGCACACUGUGCACUGUAGACAUCAUUACUUUUGCACUUUUACCAGUACAUUUUAGAGUAGUUUAGGAUUAUGUUGCAAGGGCUGUUAAUUAAAUAACUUGACUUUAUUUUAUUCUGAAAGUAAAAUUUUGGUUAACGUAAUCCCGAAAAUAACAAUCAGUUUCACCAACAAUUCAGUUCAGGAGUCUCAAGCCUUAAUGUGAGUAGCUAUGAUUGUCGUUUAACUAUGGAUCACUGAGUUAAAUCUUACCUUUUUGAAAUAUUUUCCUGAGUAUCACCUGCAGUUUGCAAGGAGGUCAUAAAAUACAGCAGUAGAGAUAGCAGCUGGAGCAUGACAGUUUUUUAACCUUGAUACGAUUUAGAAGUUUCAGCUGCUUUUAGGAACAUGUUAAAACUGUUACAGGAUGGAUUGUAUAAGUACUCUACUUAUCUCUGCAUAAGAUUUUAAUACUGUCUUAAUGUGCUUUUUUUUUUAAGUGAAUUUUCUGUUAUGUUAUAGUCAUUGUAAAAUAUGAGAAGAACAGGCAGCUCUUCAAUUUUUGUUAAUCUUUUGGAAAAUAAAGUCAUGGUUUGGCUAUGUGUCCAUUUUAGUUUGUUUUUGUGGCAAUCAGGUGCAAUGGCUUCAAUCAUUAAUUUAUGUACCUCUCUUUUCUCAAGUGACUAGCUCACCAGACUUUAAAUGUUGGCAAGAGUUUUAAAGUCCAAAUUCCUUACUAUUAAUUAUAGUACAGUGUUAUUCAGACACAUUUUCCAAAAGAUUGAAUAUAAGGUAUAGGAUUAAAUAUUUAGUUACAG